AGUUUCAGACUUUCGGUUCCCUGUAGUUGCACUUGUACACAUACAAGUUCUCUUUCGCUCUCUCUUUCACCGGAAUCGGAUCAUGUCUGGAGCGUACGAUCAAGAGGGCGGCUACGGAGGCGCUGGAUACGGUCAUGGUGGUCGAGGAGGUGGAGGAUUCGGUGGUCGAGGCGGAGAUCGUGGUGGACGAGGUGGCGGCCGCGGUGGCGGAAGUGGUAGAGACGGAGACUGGCGUUGCCCUAACCCAAGUUGUGGGAAUUUGAACUUUGCGAGAAGGGCCGAAUGUAACAAAUGUGGUGCUCCAUCUCCUGCUGGUGCUAAUGACCGUGGGGGAGGUGGUGGUUAUAAUAGAGGGGGACAUGGUAACAGUCGUGGGGGUAGAUCUGGUAAUUUUGAUGGAGGAAGAGGUAAUGGCUAUAACAGUGGUAGGGGUAAUAACAAUGGUGGUAGAAGUGGGGGAGGCAAUAGAGGUGGUUCAUUCAGUGGUAGUCAAGGUUUUGAUGAUGGUGGUGCUGGUGGAAACUACCCACCUGCGUACAAUUCUUAUGGUGGGAAUUCAAAUUAUGAAACUGAUGCGGUUCCUCCGCCUGCUAGCUAUGUGGGUGGGCCUGCAUCUUAUCCUCCAUCAUAUGGGAGUAAUGCUGGUGGUUAUGGUGGCGGCAACAAUAUAGCUGAUGCACGAUAUGGUGGUAGGUCAGGGCCACCAGUUGGAAAUGACUGUGGUUAUGGUGCUGGUAGUCAAGGUGGAUUUGGUGGAGCUCCUGCUGAGCCCCCUGCUAAGGUGAAGCAAUGUGAUGAGAAUUGUGGGGAUUCCUGUGACAACUCUAGAAUCUACAUAUCAAACUUACCGCCAGAUGUGACUAUUGAAGAAUUGAGAGAACUUUUUGGAGGCAUUGGACAAGUUGGAAGAAUAAAACAGAAGAGGGGGUAUAAAGACCAGUGGCCUUGGAACAUAAAGCUAUACACUGAUGAGAAAGGAAACAACAAGGGUGAUGGUUGUCUUGUCUACGAAGAUCCUUCUGCAGCUCAUUCUGCUGGCAGUUUUUACAAUAAUUAUGAUUUGAGGGGUUACAAAAUAAAUGUUGCAAUGGCAGAAAAAUCUGCUCCAAAAGCUCUGCCUGCAUAUAACCAUGGGGGCAAUAGGGGUGGCUAUGGUGGAGAUAGACGCAGAGACAAUUAUAGAGAUGGAGGCAGUUCUGGGCCUGAUAGGCGUGAUAAUUACGGUGGGAAUCGAUCACAUCCAUACUGAGGGCUUCAAUAGUGAACAUUUUAUGUACUAUGGUUUAUGGUCUGAGGAAUUUGUUGUAUUCAGUUGGUUGGUAACUUGAAAUGGAAGCAAAGAGGUAGGUUGUUCACUUACUUUUAGCAAGACCUCUUUGCUCCUUCUGGUUUUGUUUGUCACUCGUUGGAGGAUUUUUAAUUUUAGGCAGGGAUUAAUUUGAGCAUGUGAAUGUUUUUAGAGAGGCAAGUGGUAGUCUCCAAGCUGCCGAGGUAGUUUGAUUGUUUCUGGUAGCUGCCCGAAAUUUUGUUGUGCCAUGCCAGAGUUUGUUUGCUUCGUGGCUAAGUUAUUGCAUAGAUGGAAGCUGUAGUAGUAGUGUUACAAGUUUUGUUCACCAUACGGAAGUGUAGAUAGAUUUUGUUAAGAUGUAUGUUCUUAUUUAUCUGUUAGUUCAUAAAAGCGUUCUGUAGCAAGAAACGAAAGCUACUGAUUGUUAAAAAACAUUUAUGUAAUAAUUGAUUAUCCGGUUAAUGUUAUGAUUGAAUGAGAAUUUGAUGUGCAGCAAAA
Glycine soja is the source of this 1786-nucleotide RNA transcript. It is a transcript of the gene named transcription initiation factor TFIID subunit 15b-like, with no coding region annotated. Lineage: Eukaryota; Viridiplantae; Streptophyta; Magnoliopsida; Fabales; Fabaceae. The transcript has 7 exons. The record is from RefSeq and is a predicted model, not a curated record.